AUGAAAGCUUACAACAAAAAUUUUCAGGUCGUUGCAAGUUGUUCUAACUCGAAGACGAGUUUUUAUUCCAAGCGGGAGAGUAUGAUGUGGAGCAUGUUCACGUGGAAGCUGUAUUUUCUUUUAUUAUUAUUAACUUUUCAUAUUCAAUUUUGAUGUUUCCAAUUCUAAUUAGGUUUUCUAUUUUAGUUUCCUAUUCCAUCUA
This 202-nucleotide unclassified non-coding RNA is filed under the name Hevea brasiliensis (rubber tree). Lineage: Eukaryota; Viridiplantae; Streptophyta; Magnoliopsida; Malpighiales; Euphorbiaceae. The record is from RNAcentral.